RNAcentral lists this ribosomal RNA (405 nucleotides) under uncultured Gemmatimonadaceae bacterium. Its description in RNAcentral is "bacterial SSU rRNA". It matches the Rfam family "Bacterial small subunit ribosomal RNA", at positions 353 to 772 of the family's 1533-position model. The record is from RNAcentral. Lineage: Bacteria; Pseudomonadati; Gemmatimonadota; Gemmatimonadia; Gemmatimonadales; Gemmatimonadaceae.
AGUGGGGAAUAUUGCGCAAUGGGCGAAAGCCUGACGCAGCGACGCCGCGUGUGGGAUGAAGGCCUUCGGGUCGUAAACCACUGUCGCGAGGGACGAACACAAUGACGGUACCUCGAAAGGAAGCACCGGCUAACUCUGUGCCAGCAGCCGCGGUAAUACAGAGGGUGCGAGCGUUGUCCGGAAUCACUGGGCGUAAAGGGCGCGUAGGUGGCCUGAUAAGUAGGGGGUGAAAUCUCACGGCUCAACCGGGAGGCUGCCUUCUAGACUGUUAGGCUCGAGCAUGGUAGAGGCUGGUGGAAUUCCCGGUGUAGCGGUGGAAUGCGUAGAGAUCGGGAAGAACAUCGGUGGCGAAGGCGGCCAGCUGGGCCAUUGCUGACACUGAGGCGCGAAAGCGUGGGGAGCAAA